CAGAUCAUUACAUGAAGGAACCUUUUAAAACAAGCGCGUUCAUGCUCACAGGUGUACGCACGGGUGAUCACACACACAAACUACACCCUUUUUGGCUCUUACCUCAAAGCACACUGUGCGCUGUCGAUCUCACGUGCUGCACAAUAAUGUUUAAUAUUUAGUAUUUACUGUCAUAUUCCCAUAGAUCAUUGUGAUCUUGUUUAUUACUCUCGUUUUCUUCUGCUUGCUUUCUUUUUUCUUUCCCAACAGGUGAUCCAGGUGAUCGAUAUAUGUAUUUUUUGUCUGCUUAUUCUGUUGGUUUUUGUUUUUUGCCCUUUUUCCCCGUCCCUCUUCUCAGCUGGUUUUCUUUCCCUCUUUCUUUCUCCCCUUUCUUUCCACCAGGCAAGUCUGUCCCGUAUUCAGCAAGUGAAAAUAAAAUAAACAAUAAAAGAAGCAGAGCGACACAGAUGGAUCCAGAUCUCAACCCUGCCGUCACUGUGGUGGUGGGAAACCGUUUCGUUGUGACCUUUGUGGAAAAACUUUCAACUGGCAAACAAACCUAAUGAUGCACCAUCGUCGACAUACUGGACACAAAUUGCACUAUUGCGAAGAAUGUGGGAAAGGCUUCCCCACACCAGAUAAACUAAAACGCCAUGAACUCAUCCACAGUGGGGUUAAAGAGCACCUCUGUGAUCAGUGUGGGUCAUCCUUCACCACUGCAGAUCAGCUUAAAGUGCAUGAACGUGUCCACACAGGAGAGAAACCAUACAAGUGCAGACACUGUGACAAAAGGUUUUCACGGUCAGAUAAACGUAACCGUCAUGAACAUACGCAUGCCAACAAGAACUGCAGCAGGAAUCCCAGUUUGUAGUCCAAACAUAGUCCAUUCUGGAAAUAAACUGUUGCACCAGAAAGUUGAUUCUGUUCAUCUGGAUGCAGCGUUUUCAGUAGGAGGAGCGUUUCAUCACUCAUCCGUCAUGUCCUCUUCAGUGUAGGAUGACUGCAGUUUUCCACAGUCUUAAAAAAAAGCAGUUGCGUAAUGACUCGAAUUGGCACCAGGACCUGACAGUAAGCUGUGGAAACAGUUUCAUGAUCAUUAAUAUGCAAAUUAUUAUGACAGAUGUUCAGUCUGUAGCAGCUGACUGGUGAACUGGCAUUUAUUUGCAGCACAGUUAGAGCGGUUAGCUGGUUCCAGUUUGACUUUGGGACCGCAACUUUGGCCUUAACAUAAACUUUGGCUGUGAAGGGCAGUUUGAAACAGAAGGAGAACUUCCUGUAUUUAGUGUUCUUGUUGGAGGUGUUCUUUGGAACUUAAUGUUUACCCUCUUGUGUGUUUCACCUUACAACAGGGAUAAGGAACGCCAGGUCUUGAGAGCCGGUGUCCUGCAGGUUUUAGAUCUCACCCUGGGUCAACACACCUGAAUCAAAUGAUUAGUUCAUUACCAGGCCUCUGGAGAACUUCAAGACAUGUUGAGGAGCUAAUUUAGCCAUUUAAAUCAGCUGUGAUGGAUCAAGGACACAUCUAAAACCUGCAGGCUCUCGAGGCCUGGCGUUCCCUACCCCUGCCAUACAAGCCUUCAUCAGGGAGCGAACUUAUGACCACACCAUCAGAAUAAAGGUUUUUAUAAUUAAGACAUUUUUAAAUGUCUAGUUUGAGCUACUUUGGUUUCUACAACCUUGAAGUCAUCAUGUCAUUUUUGAGAACAAAUACAUUGAGCCAUGGUUACACUUGCUGUAUUUCAAUGUAAAGAGUGAGGAAAAAGUGAGAAAUGGAAACAUGUUUACAUUUAGAGUGACUGUUUAUCAGAGGAGGACACCUGGCUGUUCUCCACUCAGCUCAUUAGAAGCUCUGACAUUAAAUUUGACAAAUAAAUAAGGUAAUAGAGUUCAAAGAUGAUGUGUUUAAGAUGUCAAAAGGAUUCAUUUUCAUUAAAAAAAUACAAAGAA
Molecule: long non-coding RNA, 1926 nt
Organism: Oreochromis aureus
Lineage: Eukaryota; Metazoa; Chordata; Actinopteri; Cichliformes; Cichlidae
Source: Ensembl